RNAcentral lists this ribosomal RNA (384 nucleotides) under uncultured bacterium. Its description in RNAcentral is "bacterial SSU rRNA". It matches the Rfam family "Bacterial small subunit ribosomal RNA", at positions 30 to 416 of the family's 1533-position model. The record is from RNAcentral.
AUUGAACGCUGGCGGCAUGCCUUACACAUGCAAGUCGAACGGCAGCGGACCUUCGGGUGCCGGCGAGUGGCGAACGGGUGAGUAAUAUAUCGGAACGUACCUUUCAGUGGGGGAUAACGUAGCGAAAGUUACGCUAAUACCGCAUAUUCUGUGAGCAGGAAAGCAGGGGAUCGCAAGACCUUGCGCUGAUUGAGCGGCCGAUAUCAGAUUAGCUAGUUGGUGAGGUAAAGGCUCACCAAGGCGACGAUCUGUAGCGGGUCUGAGAGGAUGAUCCGCCACACUGGAACUGAGACAUGGUCCAGACUCCUACGGGAGGCAGCAGUGGGGAAUUUUGGACAAUGGGCGCAAGCCUGAUCCAGCCAUGCCGCGUGAGUGAAGAAGGCC